This 1563-nucleotide ribosomal RNA is filed under the name Pediastrum duplex. RNAcentral describes it as "SSU rRNA". It matches the Rfam family "Bacterial small subunit ribosomal RNA". Lineage: Eukaryota; Viridiplantae; Chlorophyta; Chlorophyceae; Sphaeropleales; Hydrodictyaceae. The record is from RNAcentral.
AAUUUUUAUUCAAAAUUGUAGCGCGCAGCGUGAAAAAUUUUUUGGAGAGUUUGAUCCUGGCUCAGGACGAACGCUGGCGGUAUGCUUAACACAUGCAAGUCGUACGAGAUAAAAAAUUAUAUAUCCUCUUUGCGGAGUGAGAUAUAAGAUUUUAUUCUAGUGGCGGACGGGUGCGUAACGCGUAAGAACUUACCUUUUGGUGUGGGAUAACAGCUGGAAACGGCUGCUAAUACCGCAUAGUGCUGAGAAGCUAAAAGUGAAAACUGCCAAGAGAGAGGCUUGCGUCUGAUUAGCUAGUUGGCGGAGGUAAAGGCUCCCCAAGGCGACGAUCAGUAGCUGGUCUGAGAGGAUGAUCAGCCACACUGGGACUGAGACACGGCCCAGACUCCUACGGGAGGCAGCAGUGAGGAAUUUUCCACAAUGGGCGAAAGCCUGAUGGAGCAAUACCGCGUGGAGGAAGACGGAUCGUGGUCUGUAAACUCCUUUUCUCAGAGAAGACACCCGACGGUAUCUGAGGAAUAAGCACCGGCUAACUCUGUGCCAGCAGCCGCGGUAAUACAGGGGGUGCAAGCGUUGUCCGGAAUGAUUGGGCGUAAAGCGUUCGUAGGUGGCUCUUAAAGUCUACUGUCAAAUCCCAGAGCUUAACUUUGGACCGGCAGUAGAGAACUCAAGAGCUAGAGGACGGUAGGGGUAGAGGGAAUUCCUAGUUAAGCGGUGAAAUGCACAGAGAUUAGGAAGAACACCGGUGGCGAAAGCGCUCUACUAGGCCGUUGCUGACACUGAGGGACGACAGCUGUGGGAGCGAAAAGGAUUAGAUACCCUUGUAGUCACAGCCGUAAACGAUGGAUACUAAGUGCUGUCAAAAACAGUGCUGUAGCUUACGCGUUAAGUAUCCCGCCUGGGGAGUAUGCUCGCAAGAGUGAAACUCAAAGGAAUUGACGGGUCUUAGCACAAGUGGUGGAUUCUGUGGUUUAAUUUGAUGCUACGCGGAGAACCUUACCAGGGUUUGACAUCCCGAGAAGAAUCUAGAAAUAGAUUUGUGCUCCUUUUAUAAAGGAGAGCUUGGUGACAGGUGGUGCAUGGCUGUCGUCAGCUCGUGCGGUGACGUGUCGAGUUAAGUCUUUUAACGAGCGCAACCCUUGUCUUUAGUUGCCCGCUUUGCGGAAAUCUAAAGAGACUGCCGGAGCAAUUCGGAGGAAGGAGAGGAUGACGUCAAGUCAGCAUGCCCCUUACAUCCUGGGCUACACACGUAAUACAAUGGUUGAGACAAUCGGCAGCAAACCCGUGAGGGGGAGCGAAUCUGGCAAACUCAAUCUCAGUUCGGAUUGUAGGCUGCAACUCGCCUACAUGAAGUUGGAAUCACUAGUAAUCGCCGGUCAGCUAUACGGCGGUGAAUACGUUCCCUAAGAUUGUACACACCGCCCGUCAAAGGUCGAGAGCAGAUUGAACCCGAAGUGGCUUACCCUAACAGAAAUGAAGGGGGUUCCAACGGUUUGGUUUGUGAUUAAUCUUAAGUCGUAACAAGGUACGCCUACUGGAAGGUGGGCGUGGAGAACCUCCUUU